This 451-nucleotide ribosomal RNA is filed under the name uncultured bacterium. Its description in RNAcentral is "bacterial SSU rRNA". It matches the Rfam family "Bacterial small subunit ribosomal RNA", at positions 96 to 562 of the family's 1533-position model. The record is from RNAcentral.
CCUUGGACGGGUGAGUAACGCGUGGGCAACCUGCCUUCCACUGGGGGAUAACACAGGGAAACCUGUGCUAAUACCGCAUGACAUCACAUAGGGCAUCCUGUGUGAUCAAAGGAGUGAUCCGGUGGAAGAUGGGCCCGCGUCCGAUUAGCUAGUUGGUGAGGUAACGGCUCACCAAGGCGACGAUCGGUAGCCGGACUGAGAGGUUGGCCGGCCACAUUGGGACUGAGACACGGCCCAGACUCCUACGGGAGGCAGCAGUGGGGAAUAUUGCGCAAUGGGGGGAACCCUGACGCAGCGACGCCGCGUGAAGGAAGAAGGCCUUCGGGUUGUAAACUUCUUUGAUGAGGGACGAAGGAAGUGACGGUACCUCAAAAACAAGCCACGGCUAACUACGUGCCAGCAGCCGCGGUAAUACGUAGGUGGCGAGCGUUGUCCGGAAUUACUGGGUGUA